RNAcentral lists this transfer RNA (71 nucleotides) under Puccinia triticina. Its description in RNAcentral is "tRNA-Ser". It matches the Rfam family "tRNA". From Rfam's summary of the family: Transfer RNA (tRNA) molecules are approximately 80 nucleotides in length. Their secondary structure includes four short double-helical elements and three loops (D, anti-codon, and T loops). Lineage: Eukaryota; Fungi; Basidiomycota; Pucciniomycetes; Pucciniales; Pucciniaceae. The record is from RNAcentral. RNAcentral also lists the same sequence under 1 other name.
GGUUUCAUAGCUUGGUGGUAAAGCAGGCACCUAGAGUUAGCCCAAACCAGGUUCAAGUCCUGGUGGAGCCA